GCCCUUUGUCGCUAAGAUU
RNAcentral lists this small nuclear RNA (19 nucleotides) under Arabidopsis thaliana (thale cress). Its description in RNAcentral is "snRNA_00318". The record is from RNAcentral. Lineage: Eukaryota; Viridiplantae; Streptophyta; Magnoliopsida; Brassicales; Brassicaceae.